AAAACAGGGAGCAUCGAUGCUCACAAUGUUCCCUUACUGGAUAUGACAUGCUUUCUGAAUGGUGGACAGACUCUUAGCCAACUUCCAUUUACAAAUGGUCACGGGGAACCUGGAGCCUAUCCCAGGGAGCAUCGGGCACAAGGCAGGAUACACCCUGGACAGGGUGCCAAUCCAUCGCAGGGCACAAUCACAUACACACACCCAUUCAUACACUACGGACACUUUGGACAUGCCAAUCAACCUACCAUGCAUGUCUUGGGGAGGAAACUGGAGUACCGCAGAAUGAGAACAUGCAAACUCCGCACACACAGGGCCACAGUGGGAAUUGAACACCUGACCCUGGAGGUGUGAGGCGAACAUGCUAACCCCUCAGCCACCGUGCGCCCCAUGUGAAGCAAUGUGAUGAUAUAAAAUAAAAAAUAUCCAUAUAUCGCCAUGGCCUUUGUUUUCGACUCAGGACAGCUGUUAUUUGCUGCUAUGUGGACGCUGUACACAACAAUGCUUCACCUUUGCAUGUUUGCUGAGAAUAAGCUAAUGGUUGAGAGGCAGGAAUUUGGCCAAUAGUUGCUGCAAGCCUUUUAUAAUCAACCAGUUGGUGUGUUGGAAGGUGGGAAAUACAGAGAGAGGUUGAAGCAAUGCAAAUAUGCGUACACAUGAUGCAGUAUUAGACCAUAAGUACAUCAUAAUGAAACUAAAACAGAAUCGAGUACAAUUUCUCAAAUUUAGACACUUUUUUUAAGGUCCGGGAAAAAGAGGACGUAUGGUCACCCUAACAA
Ictalurus punctatus (channel catfish) is the source of this 776-nucleotide long non-coding RNA. NCBI's taxonomy places the organism in Eukaryota, Metazoa, Chordata, Actinopteri, Siluriformes, Ictaluridae. The record is from Ensembl.